GGCAUGGAAUUUCAGCAUCCUCGCCGUCCUCUAUCCAACGCCCGAGAUGGACACCCGCUGGGGUUUUAGUGAGGUAGGUCUUGGGCCCCCUGGUCGAACCAUUCGUGGCUCGACCAAGGGGAACAAGGAGUCCCACAUAACCCACACCCCUACCCGGGGGUGUGUGGUAGCAUGACCGUUUCCCCAGCGUCACAAAAAAAAAGGUGAUGACAGCAUCCGGAUGGAAGUGUCCCACAAAGAAUUCUCAGGAGUCUCUAAAGAAUCCCCAGGAACAUGAUACAGUCAGUAGGAAGCCAAUUGCCAACGCAGGUCUAGAAACAUCCGCAGAGCAUUUCUCCAACUUAAGGCGAUGUAUGCACAUUCAUCAAAGCACCAAAAUUUACACAUUUAUAAUUAUAACGUCAAUAUAUAUUUAUCCAUUGUUUAUAAUGGACAAAUCAUCAUCAUCUCAUCACAAUGCUACACAGUAAGGUCAUAACUGACCCUAAAUGACAAAAAACGUCUGAAAUAUGCAAGGAUAAAAUCAAUCAACACAUACGUUCCAUAUAUGUAUAUGUGUAAUUACUGAAGAUCAUCUUAUCAAGACUAAUCAGCAAAUUAUAGUGUACAAAAGGAUCAGAUUAGUAUAUCACAAUAUAAUUAGUUAAUAUUUCACUACAAUUCUGACACAAUAAUCUUUUA
This is a non-coding RNA of Nylanderia fulva, 681 nucleotides long. NCBI's taxonomy places the organism in Eukaryota, Metazoa, Arthropoda, Insecta, Hymenoptera, Formicidae. The record is from RefSeq and is a predicted model, not a curated record.